UGCCUAUACAUGCAGUCGAACGAACUCUGGUAUUGAUUGGUGCUUGCAUCAUGAUUUACAUUUGAGUGAGUGGCGAACUGGUGAGUAACACGUGGGAAACCUGCCCAGAAGCGGGGGAUAACACCUGGAAACAGAUGCUAAUACCGCAUAACAACUUGGACCGCAUGGUCCGAGUUUGAAAGAUGGCUUCGGCUAUCACUUUUGGAUGGUCCCGCGGCGUAUUAGCUAGAUGGUGAGGUAACGGCUCACCAUGGCAAUGAUACGUAGCCGACCUGAGAGGGUAAUCGGCCACAUUGGGACUGAGACACGGCCCAAACUCCUACGGGAGGCAGCAGUAGGGAAUCUUCCACAAUGGACGAAAGUCUGAUGGAGCAACGCCGCGUGAGUGAAGAAGGGUUUCGGCUCGUAAAACUCUGUUGUUAAAGAAGAACAUAUCUGAGAGUAACUGUUCAGGUAUUGACGGUAUUUAACCAGAAAGCCACGGCUAACUACGUGCCAGCAGCCGCGGUAAUACGUAGGUGGCAAGCGUUGUCCGGAUUUAUUGGGCGUAAAGCGAGCGCAGGCGGUUUUUUAAGUCUGAUGUGAAAGCCUUCGGCUCAACCGAAGAAGUGCAUCGGAAACUGGGAAACUUGAGUGCAGAAGAGGACAGUGGAACUCCAUGUGUAGCGGUGAAAUGCGUAGAUAUAUGGAAGAACACCAGUGGCGAAGGCGGCUGUCUGGUCUGUAACUGACGCUGAGGCUCGAAAGUAUGGGUAGCAAACAGGAUUAGAUACCCUGGUAGUCCAUACCGUAAACGAUGAAUGCUAAGUGUUGGAGGGUUUCCGCCCUUCAGUGCUGCAGCUAACGCAUUAAGCAUUCCGCCUGGGGAGUACGGCCGCAAGGCUGAAACUCAAAGGAAUUGACGGGGGCCCGCACAAGCGGUGGAGCAUGUGGUUUAAUUCGAAGCUACGCGAAGAACCUUACCAGGUCUUGACAUACUAUGCAAAUCUAAGAGAUUAGACGUUCCCUUCGGGGACAUGGAUACAGGUGGGUGCAUGGUUGUCGUCAGCUCGUGUCGUGAGAUGUUGGGGUUAAGUCCCGCAACGAGCGCAACCCUUAUUAUCAGUUGCCAGCAUUAAGUUGGGCACUCUGGGUGAGACUGCCGGUGACAAACCGGAAGGAAAGGGGGGGGAUGACGUCAAAUCAUCCUGGCCCCUUAUGACCUGGGGCUACACA
RNAcentral lists this ribosomal RNA (1215 nucleotides) under Lactiplantibacillus pentosus. RNAcentral describes it as "bacterial SSU rRNA". It matches the Rfam family "Bacterial small subunit ribosomal RNA", at positions 45 to 1220 of the family's 1533-position model. Lineage: Bacteria; Bacillati; Bacillota; Bacilli; Lactobacillales; Lactobacillaceae. The record is from RNAcentral.